ACGGGUUUAGCUUAACGGUAGAGCGUCUGGCUACAACCAGAAGGCUGAAGGGUUCGACUCCCUUCACCCGCACCA
RNAcentral lists this transfer RNA (75 nucleotides) under Candidatus Portnoybacteria bacterium CG23_combo_of_CG06-09_8_20_14_all_37_13. RNAcentral describes it as "tRNA-OTHER". It matches the Rfam family "tRNA". Rfam says of the family: Transfer RNA (tRNA) molecules are approximately 80 nucleotides in length. Their secondary structure includes four short double-helical elements and three loops (D, anti-codon, and T loops). Lineage: Bacteria; Candidatus Portnoyibacteriota. The record is from RNAcentral.